AGAGUUUGAUCCUGGCUCAGGAUAAACGCUGGCGGCGUGCAUGAGACAUGCAAGUCGAACGGACGAUCAGGGCUUGCUCUGAUCGUUAGUGGCGGACGGCUGAGUAACGCGUAGGUGACCUGCCCCGAAGUGGGGAAUAACUGCCCGAAAGGGUGGCUAAUACCGCAUGUGGUGGUGUGUUCAUUCACACCAGUAAAGCCGCAAGGCGCUUCGGGAGGGGCCUGCGUCCGAUUAGCUCGUUGGUGGGGUAACGGCUCACCAAGGCGACGAUCGGUAGGUGGUCUGAGAGGACGAUCACCCAGACUGGGACUGAGACACGGCCCAGACUCCUACGGGAGGCAGCAGUCGGGAAUUUUGCGCAAUGGACGAAAGUCUGACGCAGCAACGCCGCGUGAGGGAUGAAGGCCUUCGGGUUGUAAACCUCUUUUAUCAGGGAAGAUAAUGACGGUACCUGAUGAAUAAGUCACGGCUAACUACGUGCCAGCAGCCGCGGUAAUACGUAGGUGACAAGCGUUGUCCGGAUUUACUGGGCGUAAAGAGCGCGCAGGCGGUCGAUCAAGUCGAGUGUGAAAGCCCCCGGCUCAACUGGGGAGGGUCAUUCGAUACUGAUCGACUCGAAGGCAGGAGAGGGUAGUGGAAUUCCCGGUGUAGUGGUGAAAUGCGUAGAUAUCGGGAGGAACACCAGUGGCGAAGGCGACUACCUGGCCUGUUCUUGACGCUGAGGCGCGAAAGCUAGGGGAGCAAACGGGAUUAGAUACCCUAGUAGUCC
RNAcentral lists this ribosomal RNA (769 nucleotides) under uncultured bacterium. RNAcentral describes it as "bacterial SSU rRNA". It matches the Rfam family "Bacterial small subunit ribosomal RNA", at positions 8 to 796 of the family's 1533-position model. The record is from RNAcentral.